Molecule: ribosomal RNA, 207 nt
Filed under: uncultured bacterium
Lineage: Bacteria
Description: partial 16S ribosomal RNA
Rfam family: Bacterial small subunit ribosomal RNA
Source: RNAcentral
CGCGCAGGCGGUUUAUUAAGUCAGAUGUGAAAGCCCGGGGCUUAACCCCGGAAGUGCAUUUGAAACUAAUAGACUUGAGUAUGGGAGAGGGAAGUGGAAUUCCUGGUGUAGAGGUGAAAUUCGUAGAUAUCAGGAGGAACACCUGUGGCGAAGGCGACUUCCUGGACCAAUACUGACGCUGAGGCGCGAAGGCGUGGGGAGCAAACA